GACGAACGCUGGCGGCGUGCCUAAUACAUGCAAGUAGAACGCUGAAGGAGGAGCUUGCUCUUCUGGAUGAGUUGCGAACGGGUGAGUAACGCGUAGGUAACCUGCCUGGUAGCGGGGGAUAACUAUUGGAAACGAUAGCUAAUACCGCAUAAGAGUAGAUGUUGCAUGACAUUUGCUUAAAAGGUGCAAUUGCAUCACUACCAGAUGGACCUGCGUUGUAUUAGCUAGUUGGUGGGGUAACGGCUCACCAAGGCGACGAUACAUAGCCGACCUGAGAGGGUGAUCGGCCACACUGGGACUGAGACACGGCCCAGACUCCUACGGGAGGCAGCAGUAGGGAAUCUUCGGCAAUGGACGGAAGUCUGACCGAGCAACGCCGCGUGAGUGAAGAAGGUUUUCGGAUCGUAAAGCUCUGUUGUAAGAGAAGAACGAGUGUGAGAGUGGAAAGUUCACACUGUGACGGUAUCUUACCAGAAAGGGACGGCUAACUAUGUGCCAGCAGCCGCGGUAAUACGUAGGUCCCGAGCGUUGUCCGGAUUUAUUGGGCGUAAAGCGAGCGCAGGCGGUUAGAUAAGUCUGAAGUUAAAGGCUGUGGCUUAACCAUAGUACGCUUUGGAAACUGUUUAACUUGAGUGCAAGAGGGGAGAGUGGAAUUCCAUGUGUAGCGGUGAAAUGCGUAGAUAUAUGGAGGAACACCGGUGGCGAAAGCGGCUCUCUGGCUUGUAACUGACGCUGAGGCUCGAAAGCGUGGGGAGCAAACAGG
Molecule: ribosomal RNA, 763 nt
Filed under: uncultured Streptococcus sp.
Lineage: Bacteria; Bacillati; Bacillota; Bacilli; Lactobacillales; Streptococcaceae
Description: bacterial SSU rRNA
Rfam family: Bacterial small subunit ribosomal RNA
Source: RNAcentral